Molecule: ribosomal RNA, 468 nt
Filed under: uncultured bacterium
Lineage: Bacteria
Description: partial 16S ribosomal RNA
Rfam family: Bacterial small subunit ribosomal RNA
Source: RNAcentral
GACGAACGCUGGCGGCGUGCUUAACACAUGCAAGUCGAACGGAAAGGCCCUGCUUUUGCGGGGUGCUCGAGUGGCGAACGGGUGAGUAACACGUGAGUAACCUGCCCUUGACUUUGGGAUAACUUCAGGAAACUGGGGCUAAUACCGGCUAGGAGCUCCUGCUGCAUGGUGGGGGUUGGAAAGUUUCGGCGGUUGGGGAUGGACUCGCGGCUUAUCAGCUUGUUGGUGGGGUAGUGGCUUACCAAGGCUUUGACGGGUAGCCGGCCUGAGAGGGUGACCGGCCACAUGGGGACUGAGAUACGGCCCAGACUCCUACGGGAGGCAGCAGUGGGGAAUAUUGCACAAUGGGCGGAAGCCUGAUGCAGCAACGCCGCGUGCGGGAUGACGGCCUUCGGGUUGUAAACCGCUUUCGCCUGUGACGAAGCGUGAGUGACGGUAAUGGGUAAAGAAGCACCGGCUAACUACGUG